GCUGGGUGCAGUGGCGCAUGCCUGUAAUCCCAGCGGCUUGGGAGGCUGAGGCAGGAGGAUCACAAGUUCUAGGCCAGCAUCAGCAACUUAGUGAGGCCCUAAGCAGCUUAGCAAGACCCUGUCUCAA
RNAcentral lists this small RNA (127 nucleotides) under Marmota monax (woodchuck). Lineage: Eukaryota; Metazoa; Chordata; Mammalia; Rodentia; Sciuridae. The record is from RNAcentral.